AAGGAUUUAACUUAAUUAAAGUGUUUGAUUUGUAUUCAGUUGAUGUAGAUAGAGUCUUGCAAUCCUUU
This 68-nucleotide transfer RNA is filed under the name Ursus americanus (American black bear). It matches the Rfam family "tRNA". Rfam says of the family: Transfer RNA (tRNA) molecules are approximately 80 nucleotides in length. The record is from Rfam by way of RNAcentral. Lineage: Eukaryota; Metazoa; Chordata; Mammalia; Carnivora; Ursidae. RNAcentral also lists the same sequence under 2 other names.